RNAcentral lists this long non-coding RNA (4039 nucleotides) under Linum usitatissimum (flax). Its description in RNAcentral is "long non-coding RNA (LUSI_LNC008043)". Lineage: Eukaryota; Viridiplantae; Streptophyta; Magnoliopsida; Malpighiales; Linaceae. The record is from RNAcentral.
UGCUGGCUCUAUUUGAGAGAAGUGUCUGCUAGCUCUAUAGUUUGGUGCUCCCUUCCACCACAUUUUUGCAAGACCAAUAAAUUUUUAGGAGGAUUGUUGAUUGUCCAAUUUAUAAUAGGUGAUGAGAGAUAUCAUAGAUGAAUGCAUGGAGGAAAUCAAGCAAUCGGGAGGCAUCGGCUGCUAUGAUAAGGCGGCUGAGGAAGUAUGUGUUCCCGCCGAACCAAUUAGUAACCUUGAGGUUUCUAUGGAUAUUGGUGUGCAUGCGCAAAUAAAUGGCAAAUCCUCUAAAAAGACAACAGUAACUACUGAUCAUCACCAGAGACAAUCCUACUCUCGGCAUGACAAAAGAUCUGCAACCUCUGAGGAUACUCUGUACAAAGAUAAUGAGCGACUAGGACAAGACCAUCACUACUAUCGUACGGAACCUAGGAACAUUGAGGGUCAUGGGAGACGCGUCAGAGACCACUAUACCAAGAGUCCAGAAAGGCAGGGAAAGCAUGUCCAGUCACAUGAGUGGAACAGUCGUAGAACAGAACGGAAUUCUGUGGAGUUGAUCUGAAUUUCAGGGCCUCUUGUAGCACCCAUGCUCUAAAUCUAAUUUUUUUUAUGUAAUUAGCAUGUUUAUUUUUAUAAUAAUAAUCAUUUUUUUCAUUGCGGGUGCUCAAAUAAAACGAUAAAUGACUAGCUAUAAAGUGUAUUCUAUUCUCAUGAUAAUCGAGCUUCCGAUCUUAAGAGACAAGGUGCCGAUCGAUCACUUGUUAAGAGACAAGGUGCUGUAAAUCUAAUGGUGUGCCUUAGAAGGCUAAGAAGCGGCCUCAUACAGCCCAGUCCAACUGAUUCGACUUGUAUGGAGGCCCAAUUAGCUCUGGUUCAGUCGGUCGUGAAUCCACUCACAAUUUCCCAGCAUCAGCAUUUUGGAUCGGGCUUUUCUUUCUAAACCCGAAUCCACCCACCAUGACCGUCAGUUCAUGCUUUCGGCGGCAAUUAAAAUCGAAGAUAUAUGCUCGCCGGUGGCUUAGCGCCGAUGCAAAGCCGAUUACAAAGCUUCAACCGAUCUGUUUUCCGUCCAUAGUCAAGAACUUUCGUCAUCGUCUCUCACUGAGCAUAUCCGAUGAACCCUUCUUCAGCUCCACUUCCCUAUCAUUCCCCAUUCCCUUAUCCCCCUCCUCCAAACCCUAACCCCUCCCCUAACAUCUUCGUCCAUCCUCUCCGACCGCCGCCGCAGCAACAACCUCAUCCGCCUCCUUACCAACUCCCACCUCCUCCGCAGCAACAACAACAACAAUCACCACAUUUCACCGCAGCUCCUCUAGUUCGUGAUGUCUCCUCUACGCUCUCCUCCCUAACUGAGCUCAUAUCGCUCUCGCGGCCAACUCUCAGCUCACUCUCUUCCCUUAUCGAUUCAAAACCUUCUCCCGUGAAUUUGAAUGAUAAACAUGUGCCUUGCCCUUACAAUCCUCACCAUCUUAUGCCGCCGGAGUCUCUAUUCAUUCACACGCUUCGCUGCCCUUCUCCGGUAUGUGAGGAUCCUACUUCUAUUAUUCAAUCUCUUCACUACCUUAAGACUUUGGACUUGCAGUUCCAAGCUAGAACUCAAUUUGACGAAUCGUCCGAGGAACGGAAGAAUGGUGAACUCAGCCUAUCAUUGGAUAGUUAUUUCAAGGAGUUCGAGUCCAACUUCUUUUACAAAGAUUGUCCAGGUGCUGUUAACUUCAUCGAGUUGGAGAAUUUAGGGAAAUUUGUUACUUUACCAAGCGUUUUAUCGGUGGAAUGUGCCGAUUCUUUUGGUUUUAGAGAGAGAAGGCCUGAUGGGUUUGACGGAAAUAAGUUCGGAAUUCUCUCAUCUGAAUUAUGGACUAUUACGAGAGAGGUUGAGGGUUGGGUUGAUUAUCCUACGCAGUACUCGUAUGGAGUAGUUUGUGGUGUUCUGAGGUUGAAUGUGGUUAAGCUGAAUAAAUUGAGGGGUUGGAUUAUCACGAAUUCUCCUCGUUUCGGUUGUGUUAUUGAUGCUUACAUGAGAGACCAUAUCUCAGUGCUUGUUGGUCUAUGCCUGAAAGCAAUUAGAAGGGAAGCUUUGGCCUUCGUGGGUUGUGAUACGACCAUUGAGAAUUUGAGUUUUCCAUGUCCUGUAUCUGUUGAAGCUUUAAAGUGGCUUGCAUCUCAGCUCUCUAUGUUAUUUGGGGAGCUGAGUGCAAAAAGAUUCACUAUUAACACUUUUAAGCAAUGCAUACUGGAUGCUGCUAAAGAGGCAUUGUUGUUCUGUUUGAGGCCUGACUUCAAAGAAAGCUCCAAAGGGUUGGAUGACAAUAAAAGUGAGACCAAGGAUGGUAAGACUGAAGAGAGCACCCUUGAAGAAUGUACAGAGCACGACAAAGAUAAGAAAGCUGAGGCAGAUGGUGUUGUUGUGUCUCAAGUAGCAGCUGCAGUGGCAGCAUUGCAAGAGCGUUCUUUACUAGAGGCUAAAAUUAAAGCUCUACGGAAUUCUCGAUUACUACCAUCUUACCAACGGUAUGGUGUUAGUCUGCUUCUACCGCAAUAUCUGCAUAAUCUAAGUUAAAUUUGUUACCUUAGAAGCUCAAGUUUCUCGAACCUUCAUUUUAUAUAUCAUAUGGGACUUGAAUAGUUUUGGAAGGCUAGAGUCUUGCCGUUGGCUAUUUAAGACAAAAUCUACCUAUUGUGUUCAUAUUGAUGGAAUGCUGAUUGAUUGGAAUUAUUGAUGUUACACGUCUGUGGUAUUAGUAGGACUUACGCAUGUCCCUCAAAGUAACAUGCUUCACUUUCGUACACUUCACUUGGGAAGAUUGACAUUUCAGUUUUCCUCAUAUGUGAUUGCAUUGUCUCGAUACGGUGGAAGUGUCGCUGAGUUGUAUCCCUCUAUCAUUUUAGGGCAGUUGAGCAUACUUAUUUGACAACUAGAGCUGAUGAAGAACGGAAAAAGCAUGCGGACUACCGGCCCACUAUUGAGCAUGAUGGCUUCCGCAAGCGAUCAACAAACCAGGUACUCCAUUAGAACAAUGGGCAAUCGCUUUUAGGCAUUGUUUGUAGUUGACGGCCUACGGAAUGAGAUUCAUGAACCUUGAAACAAGGGUUUCAUAAUGCAUUAUGUAAGACCACCUUGAGCGAGUUCCUUAACUAUUUGUCUCACUGUUCGGGCCAGCUUUAAGGUCCAAGAUAUUUCUUCCUAAGAUAGUAUUAUUUUGUAUGCUACCUAGGCAAUGGUUUCGAGCUCUGCACUUUGGCUACUAUUUUUCAUAAUCUUCAACUUUUCUUCUUUUUUGGAAUAAGGAAACAAGCAGGCCAAAGACGAAGGAGGAAUUGUUAGCUGAGGAAAGAGAUUACAAACGUCGGAGGAUGUAAUAUCGUGGGAAAAAGUUAAAAAGAACAACUCUGCAGGUAUCAAAUUGUUUCUGGGUAACAUUAUGUAACACUUUCAAUAUCUGAUGGAUGAACCUAGUAACAAUGCCUUUCCUGCUGGCUCUAUUUGAGAGAAGUGUCUGCUAGCUCUAUAGUUUGGUGCUCCCUUCCACCACAUUUUUGCAAGACCAAUAAAUUUUUAGGAGGAUUGUUGAUUGUCCAAUUUAUAAUAGGUGAUGAGAGAUAUCAUAGAUGAAUGCAUGGAGGAAAUCAAGCAAUCGGGAGGCAUCGGCUGCUAUGAUAAGGCGGCUGAGGAAGUAUGUGUUCCCGCCGAACCAAUUAGUAACCUUGAGGUUUCUAUGGAUAUUGGUGAGCAUGCGCAAAUAAAUGGCAAAUCCUCUAAAGAGACAACAGUAACUACUGAUCAUCACCAGAGACAAUCCUACUCUCGGCAUGACAAAAGAUCUGCAACCUCUGAGGAUACUCUGUACAAAGAUAAUGAGCGACUAGGACAAGACCAUCACUACUAUCGUACGGAACCUAGGAACAUUGAGGGUCAUGGGAGACGCGUCAGAGACCACUAUACCAAGAGUCCAGAAAGGCAGGGAAAGCAUGUCCAGUCACAUGAGUGGAACAGUCGUAGAACAGAACGGAAUUCUGUGGAGUUGAUAGGAGUCAAGCAUCA